GGCCAGUUCCGCCCGGGGUGGCAACGGUCUGCAAAACCGUUUGGGACGGGUUCGACUCCCGUAUUGGCCU
This 70-nucleotide transfer RNA is filed under the name Corallococcus terminator. RNAcentral describes it as "tRNA-Cys". It matches the Rfam family "tRNA". Rfam says of the family: Transfer RNA (tRNA) molecules are approximately 80 nucleotides in length. Their secondary structure includes four short double-helical elements and three loops (D, anti-codon, and T loops). Further hydrogen bonds mediate the characteristic L-shaped molecular structure. tRNAs have two regions of fundamental functional importance: the anti-codon, which is responsible for specific mRNA codon recognition, and the 3' end, to which the tRNAs corresponding amino acid is attached (by aminoacyl-tRNA synthetases). tRNAs cope with the degeneracy of the genetic code in two manners: having more than one tRNA (with a specific anti-codon) for a particular amino acid; and 'wobble' base-pairing, i.e. permitting non-standard base-pairing at the 3rd anti-codon position. Lineage: Bacteria; Pseudomonadati; Myxococcota; Myxococcia; Myxococcales; Myxococcaceae. RNAcentral also lists the same sequence under 4 other names. The record is from RNAcentral.